GCAUUGGUGGUUCAGUGGUAGAAUUCUUGCCUGCCACGCGGGAGACCUGGGUCCGAUUCCCGGCCAAUGCA
This 71-nucleotide transfer RNA is filed under the name Danionella translucida. It matches the Rfam family "tRNA". Rfam says of the family: Transfer RNA (tRNA) molecules are approximately 80 nucleotides in length. Their secondary structure includes four short double-helical elements and three loops (D, anti-codon, and T loops). Further hydrogen bonds mediate the characteristic L-shaped molecular structure. tRNAs have two regions of fundamental functional importance: the anti-codon, which is responsible for specific mRNA codon recognition, and the 3' end, to which the tRNAs corresponding amino acid is attached (by aminoacyl-tRNA synthetases). tRNAs cope with the degeneracy of the genetic code in two manners: having more than one tRNA (with a specific anti-codon) for a particular amino acid; and 'wobble' base-pairing, i.e. permitting non-standard base-pairing at the 3rd anti-codon position. Lineage: Eukaryota; Metazoa; Chordata; Actinopteri; Cypriniformes; Danionidae. The record is from Rfam by way of RNAcentral. RNAcentral also lists the same sequence under 1 other name.